This 559-nucleotide ribosomal RNA is filed under the name uncultured bacterium. RNAcentral's name for it is "bacterial SSU rRNA". It matches the Rfam family "Bacterial small subunit ribosomal RNA", at positions 100 to 694 of the family's 1533-position model. The record is from RNAcentral.
CCGGGUGAGUAACACGUGACUACCUACCUUUUAGUGGGGGAUAACUCCGGGAAACCGGAGCUAAUACCGCAUAACAUCGCAAGAUCAAAGCAGCAAUGCGCUGGAAGAGGGGGUCGCGGCUGAUUAGCUAGUUGGUGAGGUAAUGGCUCACCAAGGCGAAGAUCGGUAUCCGGCCUGAGAGGGCGCACGGACACACUGGAACUGAAACACGGUCCAGACUCCUACGGGAGGCAGCAGUGGGGAAUUUUGCGCAAUGGGGGAAACCCUGACGCAGCAACGCCGCGUGGAGGAUGAAGGCCCUUGGGUCGUAAACUCCUUUCGACCGGGACGAUACUGACGGUACCGGUGGAAGAAGCACCGGCUAACUCUGUGCCAGCAGCCGCGGUAAUACAGAGGGUGCGAGCGUUGUUCGGAGUUAUUGGGCGUAAAGGGCGCGUAGGCGGUGCGGUAAGUCACCUGUGAAACCUCUGGGCUUAACUCAGAGCCUGCAGGCGAAACUGCCGUGCUGGAGGGUGGGAGAGGUGCGUGGAAUUCCCGGUGUAGCGGUGAAAUGCGUAGA